UGUUAAGAAUUUCAUCCAUUUUUAUUAAUAAAAACUGGUAUAACAGAAAAUAACAAGAUAGUUACACACGAAGUAUCACGUAUACCUCAUGUUGAUAUCCAAGGACCAAUUUUUAACAAUAGAAAUGGAUAGAAUUUUUAACA
Gossypium hirsutum (cotton) is the source of this 143-nucleotide non-coding RNA. NCBI's taxonomy places the organism in Eukaryota, Viridiplantae, Streptophyta, Magnoliopsida, Malvales, Malvaceae. The record is from Rfam.